CCUAACGUAAUGCCCUGACAGAGGCCCUUAAAGAUGAAAUAAAUGACGAUAAGAAGCUUGGUAACAGAUUUGUGCAACGAGCGAAUUGUAGCACGCACAGGGAAAAAUACACGAGAAGGCACAAAGAAUACACACACGUAGCACUUCAUUGUGCCUUCUCAUAUCUUUAUUCCCUGUUCGCGCUACAGCUCGCUCAUUUCAACAUGAACAACCAACAAGCCCACAUCGCCACUCAGAUUUGUGCAGUUUCCUUCGAGUCAUAUUUGGGUAAAGUACCACAGACUAUAUUUUAAGUGAAAUAAGUUAUAUUUCCUCGUUUAAUUGGCCAACACUGUAGUUAGGCUCUGGGUAUAUUUUGGCCAGGCAUCAGCGUGCUACAGUCAAAUUCAAACUUGCGAAACUAAAAAGCAAAAAGAAAGGGAACUGUUUCCUCAUGCAUACCGCCGCAAACAGCCUGUUUUCACAACGCGGACGACACCGUGUCAAAGGAAGUUAUGGAAAAGAGACUGAAAUCAGUGCACGGGUACCCC
This is a long non-coding RNA of Dermacentor silvarum, 530 nucleotides long. RefSeq lists it as uncharacterized. The record is from RefSeq and is a predicted model, not a curated record. The transcript is spliced from 3 exons. Lineage: Eukaryota; Metazoa; Arthropoda; Arachnida; Ixodida; Ixodidae.